RNAcentral lists this ribosomal RNA (465 nucleotides) under uncultured bacterium. RNAcentral describes it as "partial 16S ribosomal RNA". It matches the Rfam family "Bacterial small subunit ribosomal RNA", at positions 28 to 507 of the family's 1533-position model. The record is from RNAcentral.
GACGAACGCUGGCGGCGUGCUUAACACAUGCAAGUCGAACGGAAAGGCCCCUUUGGGGGUACUCGAGUGGCGAACGGGUGAGUAACACGUGAGUAACCUGCCCUUGACUUCGGGAUAACUACAGGAAACUGGGGCUAAUACCGGAUAGGAAUCCUUGCUGCCUGGUGGGGGUUGGAAAGCUUCGGCGGGUUUGGAUGGACUCGCGGCUUAUCAGCUUGCUGGUGGGGUAGGUGCUUACCAAGGAUUUGACGGGUAGCCAGCCUGGGAGGGCGACCGGCCACCUUGGGACUUGGAUACGGCCCAGACUCCUACGGGGGGCAGCAGGGGGGAAUAUUUCACAAAGGGCGGGAGCCUGAUGCAGCAACGCCGCGUGCGGGAUGACGGCCUUCGGGUUGGAAACCGCUUUCAGCAGGGGCGAAGCUUGUGGUGACGGUACCUGCAGAAGAAGCACCGGCUAACUACGUG